AUCCACUCCUCGACUGCUGACGUCUGACGUUACGAUAACUUGGGACUGAUGAAGCCCAGAGAUGUGUGAGCUGCCAUCCAUGGCUCAUCUGGCCCAUGACGGCCCCCAGGCGACAGCUGUCACCAGCAGAGCAGACCUCCUGCUCCUGGCUGCGGUUACCAUUGGGCUGAGGCCAGCUAAUGAGGACAUUAUCAGAUCAGUGUCUUCAGCCUGACACAAGCCUAGCCGCCAGCACAACUGAUUCGACCUUUUCCCACCUGCUCUCAAGAUGAACGACCAGGAGCUUCACACAAUAUAGUCACAGGAGAAGGGAGGUCAUGGAUAUUGUAUAUUAUUCCCAGGAAAUGAAUAGCUUCAGAGAUGAAAAAGGAAGCCAGUGUGAGUCAUGAUGUGCAGCAUUGUAAAAUUUC
Molecule: long non-coding RNA, 410 nt
Organism: Amphiprion ocellaris (clown anemonefish)
Lineage: Eukaryota; Metazoa; Chordata; Actinopteri; Pomacentridae
Source: Ensembl